Pelodiscus sinensis (Chinese soft-shelled turtle) is the source of this 1447-nucleotide non-coding RNA. The record is from RefSeq and is a predicted model, not a curated record. Lineage: Eukaryota; Metazoa; Chordata; Testudines; Trionychidae.
CGGCCAUAGAACUUCCCCUCAAAAUGUUUAGAGCACGUUUUCUUUUAAAAUCUAAUCAUGCUUGAAAUAUCACCAGUAAUGGAGAAUCCAUCAUGACCCUUGACCUCUGCUUGAACCAGAACAAGAGCAAUGAAAAGACAGAAGAUGACACACCUAAACCCUUCUGGACAAGAGUGAUACCAUCAAGGAAAUUUCCCUACCCUCAUCUGCAUUGAAGAUAAGACAAACAGACAUCUACAUUAACAUACAGAAUGGAGAACAGCACUUCCAAAGCAAAAACUACAUUGAACUGUGGGAUACAGAAAGCAGGAAAACACUGCCUGGUGGGAAAUUUCUGCUUCAGAUACCAGUAAACCUAUGCCUGCACACACCUAGGUCAAUAAUUAUCAAAUCAAUUUGAGUAAUAAAUGCUCUAUUGGUAACCAAAAUACUGAAACUGCCCAAUUGCAUUAUGAGCAUCCCCAUAGCCAGGAACAAUCAGUUCCUAUUGUUUAGCAGCCUAAACUGAACAACUCUGGAAUACAUUGUUGAACCAUCUGUUUACUCAUAAACAAAUCUAGUGUCCCCCUGUAUUGGAUCCACUCUCUGGUAAGAACCCUGCUGCGGCCAGGUGGAGCUGGGCAGGAUACUUGCUGGGUUGUCAGGUUGCCUUCAGUCUUGGAACCAGGGCCCGACUAACCCUGUGCAGCGUGCUAGUAAAUCUUUGCUUGUGGCUGGUCUUUGGCCACUGGGUCUGAGUUUUAUCCAGAUCUAACCUCAGCUCACACUGGGAACUAACCAUAGUGCUGAUUUCCCCAGUCAGGGUAUAGAUCCUACUGGGUCGAGCUCCUGAAGGGAACUGGCAGGCCCCAUCCUGCAGCUUCUUUUAUACCCCUCUGCUAGGUCCUGAUUGGCUGCUGCAGAGACAGCCAUUCUACAGUGUCUGGAGCAUCUCUUCUCCGCUCCUCCUGCUGGGAUGGGGGGAUGGCAAGCCUGCUAGCCUCCUGUAGGGGGCAAUGGGGCCUAGUGCAGCCUAUCACACCACCCUUGAACCAUUGUUUUGUAGGGAACAAUUCGUUCCCUACAAAAACCCCUGUCCGUGCUCAAGUAAAGUGUUCUGAUACCUGGAUUUAAAUUAUGUAUCAGUUCCACUAGGACAUCAUCUUCUCCUCACCUCUGCUCUGCUGUCUCCAGCACACUGGGCUCCUACGACCAUCACCCUCUGGGAACCCCAAUCAGUCCAUGGUUCAUGGAGUGGUGAGAUCUCUCUCCCUCUCUUUCUCAGUAUAGCUUCCUGACUCUGCCUUAUGUGAUCAGUUAUGGUUUGCGAGCCCUAACAUUUGUAAUCGGACUUAAGUUAGAUUUUAAUAUUGUAACUUUUUUGUUUGUUUGCCCUUGUAUGGUUACUACUUAGAAAUAAAUGACUUUCAUUAUUAAACUGGUUGCUUUUUUUAUUUUCCCUUCUUUC